Nelumbo nucifera (sacred lotus) is the source of this 1292-nucleotide RNA transcript. It is a transcript of the gene named CHY-type/CTCHY-type/RING-type Zinc finger protein, with no coding region annotated. NCBI's taxonomy places the organism in Eukaryota, Viridiplantae, Streptophyta, Magnoliopsida, Proteales, Nelumbonaceae. The record is from RefSeq and is a predicted model, not a curated record.
ACCUUGCGUCGCGUCUCUUCUCUUCUUUCCUUCUUCUCCUCUUUCACGACCCAUCCUUCCCAAUCAGGCAUUAUUGGCUCCUUCACUUCCUCUGCCUCAAUAUUUUUGUUCUAUCAAUUUCAAUGGAAGACUUUGCCAAUCAACGCCUGGAUUUCGGGAAGAUGGGAUAUGGAUGCGAGCAUUACAGGAGAAGAUGCAAGAUUCGAGCUCCCUGCUGCAACGAGAUCUUCCCCUGCCGUCACUGCCACAACGAAGCCACGAGCAUGUUGAAGAACCCUAAGGAUUGCCAUGAACUCGUCAGGCAGGAUCUUCAGCAAGUCGUCUGUUCAGUUUGUGACACCGAGCAGCAGGUCGCUCAAGUCUGUUCCAACUGCGGUGUAAACAUGGGAGAGUAUUUCUGUGAAGUCUGUAAAUUCUAUGAUGAUGAUACCAGCAAGGGGCAGUUUCAUUGCGACGACUGUGGAAUUUGCAGAGUCGGUGGCCGCGACAAAUUCUUCCACUGCAAGAAAUGUGGAUCUUGCUAUGGGACCAGUCUUCAUGGCAAUCACUUGUGUGUGGAGAAUUCUAUGCGCCACCACUGUCCUAUCUGUUACGAGUAUCUUUUUGAUUCUUUGAAGGAGACAACAGUUUUGAAAUGUGGCCACACCAUGCAUAUGGAUUGUCUACAUGAGAUGAUGAAGCAUGAUCAAUAUUGUUGUCCCAUAUGCUCCAAGUCGGUAGAAGACAUGUCUAGAGUUUGGAGGAAAAUAGAUGAAGAGAUUGCAGCAACCAUCAUGCCAGAAGAUUAUCGACACAAAAAGGUGUGGAUCCUCUGUAAUGACUGUAAUGAUACUACUGAAACAUUCUUUCACAUUAUUGGGCACAAAUGCUGUCAUUGCAAUUCCUACAACACUCGUAUGAUUUCCCCACCAGUUCUUCCUCGAUGACCAGAUUCUGAACUCCCAAAUCCAGUCAACUAGGUUCACUUCUCAUACUUUGGAGAUCUGAACACGACUUAUUGGCCGAUGCACCAUGAAAGCCAACCAUGGAUAUAUUGGCUGCCCGUAAUUCCAAAAUCCAAUACACCAUGGCAGCUUAGGCUCUGUUUGCACUGGUGUAAAUGUGUGGCACAGUGCAAAUGGGAUAAGAUAAAUGCAAUAUCUGGUUUGUUUCUACUUCAGAUUUGACCAUGUCUUAUUUGUUUGAAAGAAUUAAAAUGAUGUGGUCGCCACUUAUAUGAGAAAGGUUAAGUAGAAUGAAGUGUAAAUUUGGCAUCAGCUAUUGGAAUACAAAAAUUUGCAAGUUUUGUAUCA